GAUGAAGAACGCAGCGAAAUGCGAUACGUAGUGUGAAUUGCAGAAUUCAGUGAAUCAUCGAAUCUUUGAACGCACAUUGCACCUCUCGGAAUUCCGGGAGGUAUGCCUGUUCGAGCGUCAUUUGUACCCUCAAGCUCUGCUUGGUGUUGGGUGUUUGUUCCGCCUCUGUGUGUGAACUCGCCUCAAAACAAUUGGCAGCCGGCGUACUUGUUUCGGAGCGCAGCACAUUUUGCGAUCCAGAUCAACGUACAGCGGCAUCCAAGAAGCCUUAUUUAACGCUCUUGACCUCGGAUCAGGUAGGGAUACCCGCUGAACUUAAGCAUAUCAAUAAGCGGAGGA
RNAcentral lists this unclassified non-coding RNA (339 nucleotides) under soil metagenome. RNAcentral's name for it is "partial contains 5.8S ribosomal RNA, internal transcribed spacer 2, and large subunit ribosomal RNA". The stretch from base 1 to 120 matches the Rfam family "5.8S ribosomal RNA", at positions 35 to 154 of the family's 154-position model. The record is from RNAcentral.